This 1249-nucleotide long non-coding RNA is filed under the name Parus major (Great Tit). RNAcentral describes it as "lncRNA (ENSPMJG00000003385.1)". Lineage: Eukaryota; Metazoa; Chordata; Aves; Passeriformes; Paridae. The record is from RNAcentral.
NNNNNNNNNNNNNNNNNNNNNNNNNNNNNNNNNNNNNNNNNNNNNNNNNNNNNNAUGGGUUUGCUCAUGGACUGGGGGGUGUUUGGGAUCAUUGAUCCAAGGGUUUGCUCAUGGAUUGGGGAUAUUUGGGAUCAUGGAUCCAAGGGUUUACUCCUGGACUGGGGAUCUUUGGGAUCCUGGAUCAUGGAUCCAAGGGUUUGCUCGUGGAUUGGGGGGUGUUUGGGAUCAUGGAUCAUUGAUCCAAGGGUUUCCUCAUGGAUUGGGGAUCUUUGAGAUCGUGGAUCCUGGAUCCAAGGGUUUCCUCGUGGAUUGGGGGGUGUUUGGGAUUGUGGAUCCAUGGGUUUGCUCAUGGAUUUGGGAUCUUUGGGAUCAUGGAUCAUGGAUCCAAGGGUUUCCUCAUGGACUGGGGAUCUUUGGGAUCAUGGAUCAUGAAUCCAAGGGUUUCCUCAUGGACUGAGGGGUUCUUGGGAUCGUGGAUCCAAGGGUUUGCUCCUGGAUUGGGGCUGGAAUUGGGGGGUGUUUGGGAUCCUGGAUCCAAGGGUUUCCUCAUGGACUGGGGGGUGUUUGGGAUCAUUGAUCCAUGGGUUUCAUCAUGGAUUGGAGAUCUUUGGGAUGGGGGAUCCAAGGGUCCUCAGGGUCAUGGAUCCAUGGGUUUGCUCCUGGAUUGGGGCUGGAAUUGGGGGGGGGGUCCUUGGGAUCCUGGAUCCAAGGGUUUGCUCAUGGACUGGGGACCUUUGGGAUCAUGGAUCCAAGGAUUUCAUCAUGGACUGGGGGGUGUUUGGGAUCCUGGAUCCAUGGGUUUCCUCAUGGAUUUGAGAUCUUUGGGAUCGUGGAUCCAUGGGUCCUCAGGGUUGUGGAUCCAGGGGUUUGCUUCUGGAUUUGGGAUCUUUGGGAUCCUGGAUCCAUGGGUUUCCUCCUGGAUUUGGGAUCUUUGGGAUCGUGGAUCCAUGGGUUUCCUCAUGGAUUGGAGAUCUUUGGAAUGUCGGACCCGGCUGUUUUUAUCCCGCGGGGAGAGGCGACCUCAGCCCUGCCCCGCCCCAGGCCUGGCCCCCUGUCCCUGUGUCCCCAAUGUCCCUGUGUCCCCAUGUCCCCAUGUCCCUCUGUCCCUGUGUCCCCAUGUCCCUCUGUCCCUGUGUCCCCCUGUCCCUGUGUCCCCAUGUCCCUGUGUCCUGUGUCCCCAUGUCCCUCUGUCCCUGUGUCCUGUGUCCCCAUGUCCCCGUGUCCCUGUGUCCCAUAUCCCUGUGUCCCU